GCUCGCGCGCGGCUAUAUACACAGGCUUGUUGUGUGAGUAGUGGUCCACCCACGCGUCGACGUAGCGCCUGAGAGGGUGGACGUCCACACUGGAACUGAGACACGUCCAGACUCUACGGGAGGCAGCAGUGGGGAUAUGCACAUGGGCGGAGCUGAUGCAGCAACGCGCGUGAGGGAUGACGCUUCGGGUUGUUAAACCUCUUUAGCAGGGAGAGCGUAAGUGACGGUACCUGCAGAAAAAGCGCCGGCUAACUACGUGCCAGCAGCCGCGGUAAUACGUAGGGCGCAAGCGUUAUCCGGAAUUAUUGGGCGUAAAGAGCUCGUAGGCGGUUUGUCGCGUCUGCUGUGAAAACCCGAGGCUCAACCUCGGGCCUGCAGUGGGUACGGGCAGACUAGAGUGCGGUAGGGGAGAUUGGAAUUCCUGGUGUAGCGGUGGAAUGCGCAGAUAUCAGGAGGAACACCGAUGGCGAAGGCAGAUCUCUGGGCCGUUACUGACGCUGAGGAGCGAAAGGGUGGGGAGCAAACAGGCUUAGAUACCCUGGUAGUCCACCCCGUAAACGUUGGGAACUAGUUGUGGGGGCCUUUCCACGGUCUCCGUGACGCAGCUAACGCAUUAAGUUCCCCGCCUGGGGAGUACGGCCGCAAGGCUAAAACUCAAAGGAAUUGACGGGGACCCGCACAAGCGGCGGAGCAUGCGGAUUAAUUCGAUGCAACGCGAAGAACCUUACCAAGGCUUGACAUACACCGGAAACGUCUGGAAACAGUCGCCCCUUUUUGGUCGGUGUACAGGUGGUGCAUGGUUGUCGUCAGCUCGUGUCGUGAGAUGUUGGGUUAAGUCCCGCAACGAGCGCAACCCUCGUUCUAUGUUGCCAGCACGUUAUGGUGGGAACUCAUGGGAUACUGCCGGGGUCAACUCGGAGGAAGGUGGGGAUGACGUCAAAUCAUCAUGCCCCUUAUGUCUUGGGCUUCACGCAUGCUACAAUGGCCGGUACAAAGGGCUGCAAUACCGUGAGGUGGAGCGAAUCCCAAAAAGCCGGUCCCAGUUCGGAUUGAGGUCUGCAACUCGACCUCAUGAAGUCGGAGUCGCUAGUAAUCGCAGAUCAGCAACGCUGCGGUGAAUACGUUCCCGGGUCUUGUACACACCGCCCGUCAAGUCAUGAAAGUCGGUAACACCUGAAGCCGGUGGCCUAACCCCUUGUGGGAGGGAGCUGUCGAAGGUGGGAUCGGUAAUUAGGACUAAGUCUUAAACAAAGGUGGCAGCCCGC
RNAcentral lists this ribosomal RNA (1265 nucleotides) under Microbacterium barkeri. RNAcentral describes it as "bacterial SSU rRNA". It matches the Rfam family "Bacterial small subunit ribosomal RNA", at positions 213 to 1507 of the family's 1533-position model. Lineage: Bacteria; Bacillati; Actinomycetota; Actinomycetes; Micrococcales; Microbacteriaceae. The record is from RNAcentral.